UAGGAAUGAGUGUUUAUUUGCUCAGUAGA
This 29-nucleotide non-coding RNA is filed under the name Mus musculus (house mouse). Lineage: Eukaryota; Metazoa; Chordata; Mammalia; Rodentia; Muridae. The record is from RNAcentral.